RNAcentral lists this long non-coding RNA (21934 nucleotides) under Gossypium barbadense (sea-island cotton). RNAcentral's name for it is "long non-coding RNA (GBAR_LNC002032)". The record is from RNAcentral. Lineage: Eukaryota; Viridiplantae; Streptophyta; Magnoliopsida; Malvales; Malvaceae.
UUGGAAACACUAAUAUGAGAAGGAUCAAAGAGGACGUGGAGGAAGUAAGAAUGCUGAUAAAAGUAAUCUGGAAAGAAAUGGUGAAAAGAGAAAUGAUAAUCUCUGAAGAAGAAAAUAAAGGUGCAAGGGGCUACUGCGAGUUCCGUGAAGAAAAGGAACAUGAGAUCCAGGAAUGUGACGAGUUUAAGGCUUUGAUACAAAGCCUUAUGGAUAAUAAGGAGCUGGAAUUUUAUGAAGCUGGCUCAGAUGAGGGUCAUGUAUGCACAUUGGAAGAUGAACCCAACAAUCAAAUAAUCAACCGGCCAAGGAUCAUUAUUUCUCUACCAAUGAAUAAUGAAGUCGAAACAUAAACAGCACCGAAGGUUAUUACUCGCAAACUCGUUUUCUUUCCUUAUAAGGAUAACAAGAGGGUACCCUGGUAUUAUGACUGUAAUGUGACAAUGCCAGAGAAAGAGGCUAUAGCUAGUGCUUCUAAAGAGGCUCAAGAUAAGGGUUCUUACACACGUAGUGGGAAGCGUUAUAAUGUAGAAGGAGUCAGAGUUGAGCCUGCGAAAGCAAAAGCCUUUGACAAAGAAAAAGGGGUUGAAGUACUUGUUAAUGAGCCAGUAAAGGAAGAAGAAGCCAGAGAGUUUUUAAAAUUCUUAAAACACAGUGAGUACAGCGUGGUUGAACAAUUGCGCAAGCAACCAACUCACAAAUCAAUGUUGGCUUUGCUUCUGAGUUCAGAGGUACAUCGAGAAACAUUAAUGAAGGUGCUCAAUGAGACUUACGUUACUAAUGAUAUAUCCGUCAAUAAGUUAGAUCGAUUGGUUAGUAACAUAAGUGCUGACAAUUUUAUCUAUUUCAAUGAUGAUGAAAUCCCACUUGGUGGCAUAGGAUCAGCUAAAGCUUUACAUAUCACCACUCGCUAUAAGGGGUAUACAUUGCCGAGUGUGCUUAUUGAUAAUGGAUCAGCCUUAAAUGUCUUACCAUUGUCCACAUUGAAUAGAUUACCCAUAGACAGUUCUCACAUAAAAACAUGCCAUAAUGUAGUGAGAGCAUUCGAUGGCACGGAGAGAAAGGUCAUGGGAAGAAUUGAUAUUCCUUUGAUGAUUGGGCCAAAUACGUAUGAGGUGGACUUUUUAGUGAUGGACAUCAAGCCCUCUUACAAUUGCCUGUUGGAGAGGCCUUGGAUACAUUCGGCAGGAGUAGUGCCCUCAUCCUUGUACCAGAAAUUGAAGUUAGUAACGGACAGACGGCUAGUCACCAUAAAUGCAGAGGAAGACAUCAUAGCAGCAGUUACCAGCGACGCACCAUAUGUAGAGGCAAAUGAUAAGGCUAUUGAGUGCUCUUUUCGUUCCUUAGAAUUCGUCAAUGCAACAUUCAUUUCAGAGAGGAAGGAGGUGUCAGUACCCAGGAUAUUCAGAACCACAAGAAUGGGUUUACAGAUGACAAUGGGGAAAGGAGCUUUGCCAGGAAAAGGAUUGGGAAGAUAUCUUUAAGGAAGGAUUUAGAUUCCAGAAUUAAAGGAGAAGAGAGACCAUUUUGGCUUGGGUUUCAGGCCAGAUCACAAGCAAAGGAGGAAGGAAAUAGAGAAGCGUCAGGAAAGAAGAAAGACGCAUUUAAAUGGAAGAGAAGUAGAGUGGGAAUUGAUGACAUUCCCUCAUAUAUCCCAAACUUUUAUAUCAGGAGGGAUAAUUUACCCUAAGAAAGGGUUGCUCGAAAAAGAAAGUUAUCACAUCAAUGCUGUACAUAAUGAAGAGCCUGAAUGAAAAAACCUUGAGGGCAUUCGCCGUUAAGAACCGAGAAGCUCUUUAAACAAUUGGAUUGCAGAAGAAUUUCUUGUAGUUUUUAAAGACUUUUCAAAGUAAUUUUUAAAACACUCUUGUUGCUCUAAAGCCUGGGAGUAAUAAGGUUUCGUUUGUAAAAUAGGUUCAUGUUUGGAUAUUUGUAUUUCAAUAAAACAUCACUUUUGUUAUCAAUCCAAGUGAAUAUCCUUUUAUACCGAUCAAUAUUCUUUUGACCUUUUUAAAUUCUUUCAAAUUUUUCAUUUCAUACAUAACACAUAAAUGAACAUUCUUAAAAUUCAUUCAUUCUUUGUACAUUCUUUCGUACCCCGCAAGUCCCUAGAUAUCAAUGACAUGAGCACUGAUACUACAAAUCCUGAAUUCUCUUUUAAGUAAGACAUGUGUGUAGAAGAACCUCAGGAUUUUGAAGAUGACGGGAAUUGUGAUGUGUCUCCAAAUCUGUUGAGAAUGGUGAAACAAGAGGAGAAACAAAUCCUACCCCGUGAGAAAGAGGCAAUAGAGAAUGUAGUCUUGGAAGAAUGAAAAGAGGUAAAAAUAGGGACACAUAUUGCAAAGGAAACGAGACAAGGUCUUGUUGAGCUACUACGUGAAUUCAAAGAUAUAUUUGCAUGGUCAUACGAGGAUAUGCCGGGACUGAAUACUGAUAUCGUGGUACAUUGUCUCCCCAUAAGACAAGAUUGCAAGCCGGUCCAACAAAAAUUACGAAGGAUGAGGCCUGAUAUUGUGCUGAAAAUAAAAGAUGAAGUCAAAAAGCAGUUUAAUACUGGAUUCCUACAAGAGGUUAAGUAUUCAAAAUGUGUGGCUAACAUUGUGCUUGUCCCUAAGAAGGAUGGGAAGGUACGAAUGUGUGUUGAUUACAUAGAUCUGAACAAAGCUAGCCCAAAGGACAACUUUCUUUUACCGCACAUCGACACUUUGGUGGACAAUACAGCGGGAUAUUCAUUGUUUUCUUUUAUGGAUGGCUUCUCAGGGUACAAUCAGAUAAAGAUGCAUCCCAAGGACAUGGAUAAAACUACCUUUAUAACAUUAUGAGGCACCUUUUGUUACAAGGUAAUGCCCUUCGGGUUAAAGAAUGCAGGGGCAACAUACCAAAGGGCUAUGGUGAACUUAUUUCACGAUAUGAUGCACAAGGAGAUUGAAGUGUAUGUUGAUGACAUGAUUGCUAAAUCUCGAACAGAGACAGAGCAUAUUGAAGUCUUGAAGAAGUUGUUCAUAAGAUUAAGGAAGUUUCAGUUGAAGCUUAAUCCAGCAAAGUGCAUUUUCGGAGCUAGGUCGGGGAAAUUAUUGGGCUUUGUGGUCAGCGAAAAGGGAAUAGAAGUUGACUCAGACAAGGUUAGAGCCAUACGAGAAUUGCCUCCACCACAUACUCAAAAGGAAGUUUGGGGUUUUCUUGGAAGAUUGAAUUAUAUUGCUCGGUUUAUUUCACAAUUAACCGAUAAAUGUGAUCCUAUAUUUCGCCUCAUUAGAAAACACAACCAAGGUAUAUGGAAUGAGGAAUGCCAGAAUGCUUUUGAUAAGGUUAAGCAAUACUUGUUAAACGCUCCAGUAUCAUCUCUGCCCAGUCCAGAUAGACCAUUAAUUCUGUACUUAUCAGUGUUUAGUAAUUCUAUAGGGUGUGUGCUUGGUCAACAUGACGAGUCAAGAAGAAAGGAGAAGGUGAUAUAUUACCUUAGCAAGAAAUUCACAGAGUGUGAGAUGAGAUAUUCACAAAUUGAGAAGUUGUGUUGUGCUUUGAGCUGGACGACUCGAAGGUUGAGGCAAUAUAUGCUAUAUCAUACAACUUGGCUAAUUUCGAAACUUGAUCCAUUAAAGUACAUGAUGGAGUCAACAGCCCUAAAUGGAAGAAUGGCAAGGUGAAAAGUACUACUUUCAGAAUUUGAUAUAGUCUAUGUGAGUCAAAAGGCUAUAAAAUGGAGCGCGAUAGCAGAAUUUCUGGCUAGCAGAGCUCUAGAAGAUUAUGAGCCGUUAAGCUUUGAUUUUCCUAAUGAGGAGUUGAUGUAUGUGGCAACUAUUGAAGAACGUCCAUGGAAGCUAAACUUUGACGGCGCAUCCAAUGCGGUAGGAAAUGGAAUUGGGGCAGUCUUGGUAUCCCCAAAUGGUGAUCAUUAUCCAUUUACAUGUAAAUUAGAUUUUCACUGUACGAACAAUAUGGCUGAGUAUGAAGCAUGCAUCAUGGGGAUUCAAGCGGCCAAAGAGCGAAAAAUUAGAACCCUGGAAGUGUAUGGAGACUUUGCGUUGGUAAUAUACCAACUUAGGGAUGAAUGAGAGACAAGGGACCCCAAAUUGAUUAAUUAUCGAAGGGUAGUUUUGGAGUUACUUGAAGAGUUUGAUAACGUCACUUUCAGUUAUCUCCCACGAAACGAAAAUCAAAUGGCGGACGCUUUGGCAACAUUAGCUUCCAUGAUUAAAGCAAAUAAACAAGAGGAGGUGAGACCAAUUCAGAUGAGCGUUUCUGAGGUUCCAGCUCAUUGCUGUAAUAUCGAAGAAGAUGAAAAGGAUGACCAUCCUUGGUAUCAAGAUAUAUUACGGUAUGUGAGAAAUCGUGAAUAUCUUGAGCAGGCAACUGAGAAUGACAAAAGAACUUUGAGAAGGUUAGCCUGCGAAUAUGUACUAGAUGGAGACAUCCUUUAUAAAAGAAGGAAAGAUCAGGUACUCUUAAGAUGCGUCGAUGCUGUGGAAGCUAGACAAAUCCUGGAAGAAGUACAUGAAGGUGUUUGUGAGACACAUGCUAAUGGCUUUACGAUGGGCAAGGAAAAUCAUGAGGUUUGGAUAUUUUUGGUCUACUAUGGAAAGAGAUUGUAUCAGCUAUACUAAAAAAUGUCAUAAAUGCUAGAUAUAUAGGGACAAGAUUCAUGUACCACAUUCACCCUUAUAUGUUAUGACUUCUCCAUGGCCCUUUUCCGUGUGGGGCAUGGAUGUCAUAGGGCUAAUAUCACCAAAGCUUCGAAUGGGCAUCGUUUCAUUUUUGUGGUCAUUGACUACUUCACAAAAUGGGUAGAGGCAGCUUCAUAUGCUAGUGUUACCAAGUCGACUGUAAGUUGUUUCUUGAAAAAGGAGAUUAUUUGUCGGUAUGGAAUGCCUGAGAGGAUUAUAUCGGACAAUGCAUUGAACUUGAAUAACAGCAUGAUUGUGGAAGUUUGUAGCCAAUUUAAGAUCAAACAUCAUAAUUCAUCUCCAUAUCGCCCAAAAAUGAAUGGGGCAGUGGAAGCUGCCAUCAAGAAUAUUAAGAGCAUAGUAGGGAAAAUGACUGAGACCUACAAAGACUGCAUGAGAAAUUACCAUUUGCACUCAUUGCCUAUCGAACGUCAGUCAGAACCUCUACUGGGGCAACACCUUUCUCAUUGGUUUAUGGGAUGGAGGCAGUGUUGCCCAUUGAAGUAGAAAUACCUUCUCUUCGAAUUUUGUCAGAAAUAAAGCUGGAUGAAGCAGAAUGGAUUCAAUUGCAGUAUGACUAAUUGAACUUGAUUGAAGAAAAGAGGCUAAGGGCUAUUCGUCACGGUCAGAUAUAUCAGAAGAGAAUUCCACGAAGGGGACCUUGUAUUGAAAAAGAUUCUUCCCAUAAGAAGGACUUUAGAGGAAAAUGGAUGCCAAAUUGGGAAGGACCGUACGUUGUGAAGAAGGCUUUCUCUGGUGGUACACUGAUUUUGACAGAAAUGGAUGAGAAAAGUUUACCCAAUCCAGUGAAUUCAGACUCAGUCAAGAAUUACUUUGUCUAAAGAGAAAGGAAGUCAAGGUGAAAACCCACAAAGGGCGCUUUGAGAUUUCUGAAAACUUCUAAAAAAAAUAGAGAGGCCAAGGUGAAAACCCGUAAAGAGCGCCCUGAGACCAAAGGGGUUUUGAGUUGAAAACCCGAAAUGGCUGUUCAAAUUUUAAAAAGCAUGCAGUGACCUUGCUAUACUAGAUUUGACAAGAAAUGGAGUAUGUUACAUACUAGGGCAUCGACAAAAUACUUUGAAUCUUCUAAACAAAUGAUAAACUCAAAACAGUCUUCAUGGAAUUUGUAUAUAGAAGCCCAAGCUGUGAUAUGUUGGAUAUGUGAUUUUUGUUCUGUUUACUAUCUUUGGAUUCUUUUUCUUCUCAAAGAUAUGUUUUUAGAUUAAUUUCCUAUUGUAUUCUGAUGAUUUAUUUAACUAUUCUCAAGAUUAAAUUAUUUGUCUUCCAUUAUUCAUAAAGUGUGUUACAUUGAAAUAAUGAUUGAUGAACUAAAUAUUUUUACAAACGAAGUUUUGCAUAUUACUCUGAAAAUCUCUAGAGAAUACAAGAAACUAAAACAGAACAAUUGUUUGAAGAAUUCCCAUGAGUGAGGGUCAGAGGUAUUCAAGAAAAUUUCUUCAGUUCAAAGGAUAAUUGGACAAUUCAAACGAUUCAAUCUUAGGAGAGGAUCGUCUCCAGCAGGUCGUAACAUUCGGAGAAUGGUACAAUAGGACCAAUCUGAUUCAAAACACAUGAGCAAAGUAUGAUUGAUACUUUGAGUAAAAUAAAGGUGGAACUUUGAUGGAUGAACGAGUAAAGACGUCCGAAAUAGGAAUCAUUUUCAUAACAUUUUGCAUCAUAGUAUGUCUAUUUAGGAGCAUUUGACUCAUUUCGGUCAUGUCACCUUAAUCAUCGGGCAUGAGCACAUAUGCAUUCUACAGGUUACGCCCUUUAAGGGACAAUAUAGAUCACCGAUAGUAGAUUUGGCGUCUCUGUAUUGACAGAGAGCAGAUCGAAGAUAACAGAUUUGGCUUCUCUGUAUUGACAGAGAGCAGAUCGAAGAUAACAGAUUUGGCGUCUCUGUAUUGUCAGAGAGUAGAUCGAAGAUAACAGAUUUGGCGUCUCUGUAUUGUCAGAGAGCAGAUCGAAGAUAACAGAUUUGGCGUCUUUGUAUUGAUAGAGAGCAGAUCAAAGAUAGCAGAUUUGGCAUCUCUGUAUUGACAGAGAGUAGAUCGAAGAUAGCCAAUUUGGCGUCUCUGUAUUGACAGAGAGCAAAUCGAAGAUAGCCGAUUUGGCAUCUUUUUAUUGUCAGAGAGCAGAUCGAAGAUAGUAGAUUUGGCGUCUCUGUAUUGUCAGAGAGCAGAUCGAAGAUAGCAGAUUUAGCGUCUCUGUAUUGACAGAGAGCAGAUCGAAGAUAGCAGAUUUGGCGUCUUUGUAUUGACAAAGAGUAGAUUGAAGAUAGCAGAUCUAACAUUUGUAUGCUUACAUCGAAGCAGAUUGAAGAUGACAGAUUCAGCUUCUCCAUAUUAGGCAAGGAGAAGAUCAGAGAUUUCAGCUUGGCAUUCCUGAGUUUGCAGGGAGCAAGUUGAAUAUAGCAGAUUUGACAUUCCUGGGUUACGGUGAAGCAAGUUUGAAGCUAUCAGAAUACCUUUGAAGAAGAUGAGGAUCAAGAUUUCGAGACCUGGCCAGGCCGGGCAAAAUUGGUCCUUUUAUAGUCUUUGCUCUAUUCCUGUUACACAGUAAUGAGCAAAUAGGGGCAGCUGUAAUAACCCAAAUUUGCCCAGCCCAGAAAAUAAAAAAACAAAAAAUAAAAAGUCCUUUACAGUCCAUUUACAAAUCACGCCAGUAGCCCAUUACACUUAAAAGCCCUUUAACUUGAACUAAACCCAAAUUAAUGAGGCCAAGGAAGGCUCAAUGCCUAAACUGAAUCAGGAAACCCUAGGGUUUCCAGAAGCUUCGCGCCGCAAACUCCAAACGUCACGCCCCUUCGUCUCGCGCAAUUUCAGUGAACCCUCAUCGACGCCUCCAUCGGUGCCGUGACUACCGUAAUCUGCCCGCGAAUCAACACCCUAUCGUCACCGAAUUUCUCGCUGGUACCUGCAAAAAAGGAAAGAAGAACAACAGAGGCAAUACAAAUAUGGCAGGGAAUAAAAUCAAACAUGUUAAAUAUUAUUUUCAGUGGCUAUAAAAGCCCGAAUCAAAAUGAUGUAAAGCACGGUUUUUUUUAAAUGGAGAUAUACAAUAAAGAAUAAAACAGUUUAUCAAAGAAAACAGAGGUGAUUAGUUCUUUACCUUUUCUUCUUGUUGCAAACAUAUACAAAUUUUAUUAAAAUAAAAGGAAAGGGAGUUUACUAUUGGAUUUGCGCUAAAAACCAGAAGCUUUUCGGCUUUCGGCCGCCGUAUCUAGCGGAGUUGAAGACGGUACGUGGACGCGUGAGUCUGAUGACCGGGCUUGGCCCGACGGAGGCUGGAGCCCAGAGGAUUUCCUCUCUUUUCCUCUUUCAGAGGAUUUCUGUUCUUCUUUUUUUAAAACCAGGGGCUAAAAUGAUUUUUUAAGUUUUUUUUUUACAUUUAUAAGCUACCUAUAUGACGUCGUUUUGGGAUGACCGUUUAGUGACCAAACGGUGUCGUUUCAGGGCUGAGGAUCCGCGCGUUGACCCGUGACCUGGGGAGGAUCCGCGCGUUUUUGAUAAAUGGGAAAAUUACUGUUUGAGCCCUUCCGCAUUUUUCGUUUUUUAAAUGUCGUUUAAUUCUAAAUUUCUCUAUUUUUAAAUCUGGCCCUAAUAGUUUGUUUCUGUUUCAAUUUGGUUCCUGAACCCUUUAAAGUGUAAUUUUUAAAACGGCGUCGUUAUGGGAUUAGGGAUAAUUGCCCAGUGAGUCCCUCGUUUUUUGGCGCGCGCUUUAAUUGGAUCCAAAAUUCAUUUUAUUUUAAAAUUAACCCUAAAGUUUUUUUAUUUCAUUUUAAUCCUUUUGAUUUUUUUAUAAUUUAUUUAAUUUAAAUAUAAUAUACAAUAUUUAUUUUUACCAUAAACAUUAUCUAUAUAUGAAAAAUUAUUAUAUAUUUUUUUAUUUUUUAUUUGUGUAUUAUUUGUUAAAUCAUUUACAUUUCAUUAUAUAUUUUGAUUUAUACAUUUUAUUAUAUAUCAUUUUAUUAUAUAUUAUUGUUAUUUUAUUAUAUAUUAUAAUUAUUCAUUAUUUAUUAUUAUAUAAUUUUCAAAUUUGUAAAUUACUAUUAAAUAUUGCAUUUUUAUAUCAUUAUUAAAAUUUAGUAUGUAAUACACUAAAAUUUAUAAUAAAGUUUUAUUCCUAUUAUACAAUAUUAUUUUAUAAAACAUAUUAAAUUAUUACAUCAUAUAGUCUAUUUUUUAUUAAUCAUAUAUAAAAUCUUCUUCUUUACUAUUUAUCUAUGGUUUUAAAUAUUUUUUAAAAAUACCUCAUUUAAUUUUUAUUGUAUUUUAUUUUUUAUAUAUGUUUAUAAUUUUUUUAUUUAUUUUUGCGUCCUUUUGGAUUUAUUUAGUAUCGUUUUAAUAUGUUCUCAAAGAUUAUUUGUAUUUUUAUGUUAUUUACUAUUUAUGUAUAUUUGCAUGAAAAUUGACUAUUUAUGUUGUUAUUUUAAGUUAUAUUUAUAUGUAAUAUUAUUGUAUACAUAUUAUGCAAUUUAUAUUGUUAUAUAUUCAUUAUGCUCUAUGUUGUAUUUUGCAUGUAACAAUAAUGCAUGUAUAUUUAUGUUAUUUAUGAUCAUAUAUGCAUAAAAUGAUAAUGUAUAUUGUGUAAUUUAUGUCAUUAUUUAUCAUUUUUUAUAUUAUAUUUGCAUGGAAUGAUAAAGUAGGUAUCAUGUAGGUUAAUUUAUUUAAUAUUGAUCCUUUGUAAUAAGUUGAAUGCAUCAUCACUUUAAAGAACUUUUAUAUCUCAUUCGAUCCAAAAGAAUAUAAAAAAUAAGGCAAUGUUUUUUGGUACUUAGGAAUUCGGGAAGUAGUACCCUAACAUGCUGGGUUGCGAUUUCCCGUUUGUCUAAAUGCCUAAAAUAUCCUUCUAAAUAAGUUUUGAAAAUCACAAGAUGAUUUCAGUUACGAAAGUUUAAGAACAUCGUGUCCAAUCAUGCUGGAUGUGAUGUUUAUAUUCUUUUGAAGUGAAGGAUUCUUGAUUUUUAACUCAAAUUAUUACGGUUUUAAAAGAGAUCUUAUUUCUAAAUUCUUUUAAGCUUUUGAAGCGAAGGAUUCUUGAUUUUUAACUCAAAUUAUUACGGUUUGAAAAGAGAUCUUAUUUCUAAAUUCUUUUAAGCUUUUGACAUUAAGACAAAACUAUUCAAUUUGGUACCAAUUUUGGGCGUUGCGAGGGUGCUAACCCUUCCUCGUACGUAACCGAAUCCUGAGCCCGUUUUCUCAUAAUUUCGUAGACCAAAAUGUUUUAUAAGGUGAUCCAAUCACACUUUAAAAGGUUGGUGGCGGCUCCUGUUUUCAAAAUACCCUCCCCGUUUAAAAGAGGUUUUGACAACCCCCAUAUUUUAUUUGGCACAUUGUCCUUAAUGUGCUUAAAAAUAAAAUAAGGAACGAAAUUACCUAAUUUGGCGUGAUAGUCCAUGAACAAUGUUGGGUAGCCUUGUCCUCCCCGAUUUAACUCCAAAAAAUUUUGUAUCAUCCAAAAUAUAGGAUUCUUACACAGAAAAACACAUUUUUUUAAAGAAUCUUAACUCGAUGUCGCAACAUUAACUUCAAAGUUCCUAGCUAAUUGGUUCAAAAUCUAGUAUCGUGACAUUGAGAUUCAAUUUUGUGACAUUCUCCUUGUAUUUUAACUUUGAAGUUCCAUGUCAUGACGCCAGAGUUCAUCGUCGUGACUUUGAGUCUAGUUCUAUGCUUCUUCAAGUUUUUUUUUUGAGAUGUUCCACAAUAUCAACACCUACUUGUGGAAAACAACACAAACAAUCAAAAGGAACAAAACAAAAUUUUAAAAAUAAAAAAUAUAUAUUAAAUAAAUAAAUAAUAAAAUAAAAGGAAAAACUAGAGAAAAAAUAAAAGUUCUUUUUAAAGACUAGGACGAUCUGCAUCACAACCAUAGAAGAAUUUUCAGCUGGUCCUCGACACUUUGAUCCUUCAUUUGUUUCAUUGUUGAUGUAUCUGAACCAAUAAUUUUGGUCGAUUCUGAUGAUAUUGCCUUAGUUUUUACCGGCGUGACAUCUACAUUACGAGCUAUUUAAUGCCAAAGUUGAGCCAACCGCAAAUGGUUUUUUGGGAUAUUAUUAGCUCGAGCUUUUUCACCUCAAUGUCACGUAAGGAUCUAUCAACCUAAGUUUUGUCAUCGUCAUCGAACGAGAAUGAUAUGAACUCGUCAACCUCUUCGGUUGGCGUUUCCUCUUCUAUGGCCAGAAGGUGUGUCGACUCAUUGACACCUUCACUUAGAAUCAGUUUAAGCUCCAAGUUAAUGGUUAAUGUUACAUCUACUUCUAAAUCUACUAUUACAUCUAUGCCAAAGUUAAUUAGAUCAAAGACUACUUCGGCGAUCUUCAAUUCUUUCUCGUACCCAAUUUCAAACUCUAGCCAACUUUUGUAGUCUACUUACGGAUGGUCGAUAGUGCUACUAUAGGUUUCAUAAUUACAGUUGGAGGCAUCAUGUACAACCUUUUCCAAUGGGAUUUCUACUUCUGCUUGCCUUCGGAGCAAUUUCUCUAACUAGUCCACCUAUUUUUGAAUUCUUUCUAGGUUAGUUUGGAAUGCAUCCGACUCAGGAUGGAAUGUGGAUAAAUAUUCUCCACACCUUCGAUCAUGACUCCGCUGAUUCAUUGAAACUCCAUUUGUUCGACAUGAUUUUUUAUUGCUUCUAUGUUGUUCAUACAAAUAGCAGUAUACAUCGUCAUCCAAGAUUAAUUUGAAUUCUUUUUUGACUGAAUGUUUGGGCAUAUCAAAUUCUUCCUUAUAACUCCAUUGGUUCGUCAAAUCUUCGUUUGUCAAACUUGAUUCUUCAUUAAUGUUCCAAUCCAAUGGUUUUGUACAAUCUGGUUCAGGAUGAUUAAUCAUAAUACAAGGGUCUUCUAGUUGAAGUUAGGAACAUGAUGCACAACCUCAUCCAAUGGGGUUUGUUGUAGCUCCAUCGUAAGCAAUAUUUGGUUCUCCUCGAUAUCCUAUUCUUCAUAAAAUCAUUCCUUGUAUACUUCAUCAUCAUACAACGCAGACAUUUUGCAUUCUUCAGCCCAACUCUUAUUAUCAUCAAACUCAUAAUCAACCCAAUCCAUGAGUAAAUUAGUUAGUCAACAAGGUAGCUAAAAAUAAAAAUAACUAAAAAUAAUGAAAAAUAAAGUUAAUACACUAUCUAACUCAUUCGUCUUUCGAUUAAUAUUAUUUUACGAAGCAAUUAAUCUAAUAAUAAUUUUCACAGUCGCAAUCCUCGGCAACAACACCAACAACUUGAAUGCUACCAAAUGUGCGAAUGUUUGGACUGAAAAUACUGCAGCAAAAAGAUAAUAAAUAAAGCAACGGUGUCCACAAGUAUACUGGUCAAAUUGUAAUAUAGGUUGUUUACAACGAAACACGUGGAAAGUAUUCCAUGGAUUGUAACCAAGAGAUUGCAGAUUGGAGAAAUUUAUUAUUAGAUUAAUUACAGAAAAUAAGUACUAAUCUAAUCGAGUUCCGAAUUAGUAGUACAAAUCUAAAUUAAAGUAUUUAUUAAACUAAUUAAGUUAAUUAACCUAAACUAAGCUAAUGAAAUUUCCUAUUCCUAGUGUGGACAAUACAAGCUCUCGGCCUUUAAUCAAUUAAAUCCCUAAAUAACAACUAAGUCAUUAAUUACCCUCAACUGAGUUCUUUACCACCUUUAGCUACAAAUACCCUCUCGGUCUCAUCUUCACUAAGGAUUGCCACUUAAGUCACCCUCUGGUCUUUUCCUAGGCAUACGGAUAACUCUCGAUCUCAUCACUGGGCAUAAGUUACACUUAACAGACUACCCCCUUUUAGUCUCACCUUUCUUGAUAUUCUAUUAGGGAUGUCACUCUUUAAUAUAAUAAGUACUCUUGAAUGAACUCUCAAUUUUAGGUAAAUAAUUACUUAAUUAAUAAAUCAGAUUCAUAAGCGAAACAUACCAGAUAUAAAAUACGCACAACUUAUUCUAAUAUUCAUAUAAACAUCAAUUGAUCAGGCCAACGAAAAUAUAAAUAAAAGAAUAAGAAAAAUGGGAGAAAGCUAUUAAAUAAAUAUAGGUACAACUCCAGAGCAAUAUCCUCUCAUGAUCAUCUUCACAUCAGAACAGGAAAAUCUCGACUACACGAACAUAAAAUAAAACUACAAAGAAAACUAAAUAAACUAUUUAGUUCUAAAAUGUCUAACUUUCAACAACUGUCUAACGAAGUUAUAAGUGUUUAUAUACGCACAAAUUAGAGCAACCAUUAAUGUCAAUUAUUACUAAAAUACCCCUGAUACUAAUAAAUUUGUAUUUAGUAAACUGAAUAUUUAAAAUUUGUUCACGUGACCACUGUUGUGAGCAAUUUGUCACGAUGACGUCAAGACUCCGCGGCGCCAAAAUCCCACAUCGCAAUGUCAGCCCUAUUUUUAGCCUUUGAUGAUUCAAAGUUCGGUGUCAAGACGUGGUAUGUUGAUGCCGCGUCAUGACCUUUGUUCCUUGCAUACUUAAGCUUAAAUCGAUGUCCUACACACUCAAAUAACCCAUUAGUCAUACCCAAGGCCCAAAUUGGUCUUAUGGGUCGUUAAAAAACUGAAUAAUGGGUAAAAACACUUAUUUUACCGAAAUUAAACUUAAACUACUAAAAAUAGAAAACGAAAUAAACACAUAUAAAAGAGCUAGAAAAUAUGCUCAUUAAGUGCCAAAAUGACUUUAAUUUCCACAACGAAUUGUGGUAGAUUAAUGAUUCAGACUGUAGGAAAUGUAGAUGACUAGAAAAUCAUAUAUGAUGGAUGUUUCUACCUGGGCUUGAAUCUUGUAUCUUGGUAUAACAAGAAGCAAUCAUCCAUUUCAUUAUCAACAACAAAGGCAAAGUAUAUUGUAGUUGGUAGUUGUUUUUCACAACUACUUUAGAUGAAACAAAUGAUUGGCAAACUUUGGAAUUUGAAUUAUUUUAAAUUAUAUUUAAAAUAUAUUAAAUAAUCAAUUCAAAUAUUAUAAUAGAAAAAUAUUGAAUAUAAUUAAAUCAUUUUUAACAUAUUCAACAUACAAUAUAGUUUUACUUUAUUUAAUUAAUGAAAAGUAAUAUUAUUCAAAAAAAUAACUAAUUAAAAUAAUUAAAUUUAAUAUUAAUUAAGUAAUAAUUAAGAUACUUAGUAUUCUAUUCAUGUAAUACAUCAUUAAAUUUAGCAUAGCACAACUUUUGUCUAUGUAAAAAAAAAAUUUAAACUAAUAUUUGUGAAUUAUAAUUAUAAUUAUCAAAACUCUUUUUAACUAAUAAUUGUAACUUAAAUUUUAAUUGUUUUUAAAUUUAUAAAUAUCACAAUUUAUCUUUUAUUUCAACUUUUUAAAUUAAUAAUCCAAAAUAAAACAUGAUAAUUAUUUUUAAAUAUAAAUUUAAUAAUAUUAUCGAAAAUAAUAAGCAUUCUUGUGAGUUCAAUUUUUUUUUUCUUUCCAAACUCACACAUAUAUUAUAGAUAAACUACCCAUUUUCUACAAUAGUUAUCAAUUUACUAAUAUCUAACUUUAAAAAAAAAAUUAUUUUGAGAUAGCCAUCCAGUUAUCUUCACUUUAUGUGUCUUAUUUGAAUUAAUAUUUAGGAGAAUUUUUUUUCACAUGUGCAUACAUGUAAAAAUUUUGUAAUUUGAAAAUAUAUGUGUUCAAAAAUAACAUAUAAUAAAUAAUGAAACGUAAGUUUUGAAAUUAAUAAUAACAGCUCAUAUGCAAUAUGUAUGAAAUUAAAAUAAAAAAUAAUUUAAAUUGUAGGUAAAAGGAAAUUUAAAUAGGUAAAUACAUUAAAUCAAGAAUAUUAAAUGCACUAUAAUUAUUUAUCAUAGUGUUGUCAUUUCUCUUAAGAUGACUUGUGACACCAAUACAAUCAACGAUAUUAUCAAUAUAAAUAAUGUGAGUGAAAUAAUUUGCAUAAUAAUAUUAAAAUAUAUCAAAGUAUCAAAAGAAAGCUUUGAUAGAAGUGAUAAAGUAAAAAUUUUAUAAAUAUUGAUAGCAUGACUUCAAAUAUCAACAUAUGCAAAAUUUAUAUUGAUUUUAUUUAAAAUGUACAAAUACAAAAGAAUAAUUGUAAGAAUAUAACUUAUUUCAAAUAUAUUAAGUAAUUUAGUAAUUUCUUAAGUUGGUAACAAUUUGAUAUUUAAAUAAUAAUAUAUAUUAUUAAUUAAAUUGAGGUUACAAAUUAAUAAAACACAAAUUCAAUUUAAAAAUAAAACAAAAUAUUUUUUUUCUGAUUUUUGUCGGAAAAUAUCUUAUUUAUUUUAAUAAUUUAAACACCAUAGCUUUUCUGUGGUCCAAAAAACAGGAUAAGACUGGCGUUGAAGGUCCUAGUCCCACCCAUGCCCAUGCGGGCCAUACUGUGUGUCGAUAUCCGACCCCGUGAUGUAAUAUCACUAUUGAAAUUAUAAAAAGUUGUCGUAUUUAAAAGACGUUUCACAUGCAUCCACUGUUCAAGUUGUUUUAGUUCAUACAAACUAUAUGCAUAUUCAAUGUAUGAAUAUGUAUUCCUUUUGGCAGCUACAACAUUCAACUUAAACUACUAACGAACAAAAAUGACCCUGUGAUAGAUUCAAUGUCCAAUCAAUGUCUUACUAAAUUAGGAUAUAUUCUAAAUCCAUCUUCGUAAUUGUCAAGUAGAAUUCACAUGAUUUCAGAUCUCCUACAAAAAUGGGAAAUCCAUUUGACCAAAGUGAUUAAUCUUGAAAACUAUUAGAAAAACUACUGCAACAGAAAGUGAAAGUCGAACCAAUUAGCAUUGCCAUAAACAUAAUAGCUAGUCAGGACAAUGAUUUUUUUUCAACCCCCCAGCUUGAUGCGGUUGCGAAAAGGACUGUUUUAAUACUAAAGUUAUACAGAAUUUUAAAUCAUACUAUGACGGUGGGAGAGAUGUGAAGAGUCACUAAAAUAAGAGUGAUUUAUACUGUAAAUUAUGUGGAGAGUCAUAAAAAUAUAAAUUUGAGAAGGUUAAGGUUAAGUUUUGAUAAAGUAUAGACUAUGUAUGGUGUAUGGCUCUCUUACUCCAAAGCUGAGGAGAGAUAUUUAUAUAGGGAGGUCAGUUGAGCAUGAGUCCUAACCAUUAAAUUUUCUAUCUCAUAAGUGCAAUAGUGGAGUGAUGGAUGUUAGUCGAGGGUAUUGAGUUAACUUGAAAGGGCUAGACGAGACAUUCGUUAAGUCAAUGUAAUAGAUUUAAGAGUGUCAUUAGAAACUCUUUCUCUUGUAACUCUUAAGGAUCAUGUGGCGCUUUGUAUGAUAGAAUGUUUAGGCAAGGUUAUUGUAAAGGUGAGUAAAAUCUAAUUCAAUUCGUAAAAUUCGAUAAAAAAUAUAAUUUUUGAAUUAAAUAGUUCGAGUUAUGUGAGUUAAUCGAGUUAUUUGGAUCAACUCGAAUAAAAAUUAAUUUUUUUUGUUUAACUCGAAUAUGAAUUACACUUUGAAUUAUCAGAAAAUCCAAAUAAGAAAAGGCAAAACUACAUUUGUUUUGAUAAAUAUUUACCUUUUCUAAAGUUAAAAGUCAAAACAUUUAAGGUAAAAGGUAAAAUUACGUCAUUUUAAUAAAUGUUUACCCAUUAAGUUAAAAGAUAAAACCAUUAUAUUGUUUAUAUAGUUAAAUAAUCUUGUACUUCGGCUACUAGUUAAACAAUUGGUCUAUGUAAAUACAACAUUAAGUAUUAAUAAUAGGAUUCGUCUACUCGACUCGACUUGUGCCGAAAAUUUUUUCCUCAAUUCAAUUUGAUUCGAAAAAAUUUUCAAAUUGAGUUUGGUUGCUAAAAUAGGAUUCUUUAACUCAAUUAACUUGAAAUUUUUUAACUCGAUUCCAAUUAACUCGAUCGAAUACUCACCCCAAGCUACUGCCCUCUUGGAGAGGCCACAUAUUCUUAUAGUUGUUGAAUGAUCCAGUGAGUCGGUCUAGGCAAGGGUAUAACAACUACCCCUUAGUUGAAAGACAGGUUACAAAGUGACCUGGCCUGAGCUAAUUCAUUAGCAAACCUUACUCGAACCUUGGUGAGGCUUGUAGAGGGUUUUGAAGUGUCAUCGUUAUUGUCUGAUUAUUGCACCUGUGUAUUGAUUACUCUUAGAUGCAUGUUUGUAUUUAAUUGAAAGAUUUUUUUAAACACAUUUCUCUUUAUUUUAUUGAGCCAAUAUUUAGAGAAAAAUAAUUUUGAAAUCAAGUUAAAAUUCGAUCUGACCUGCCUCAUGGAUAAAUUUAUAUCUAACUCUAUUUUACAAUAUUUUUAAUUUUGCCUCACCUGAAAAUGCUAAAUGGAACAUUCGCGAGCAUGUUAUAGAUUAAGGGACUCAUAUAUUCUCAUAUUCCUAUAAAUGUUGAAUAAUCGGAGGGGAUUUAAAAGAGAGGGUUAUAACAAAGACUAAUAUGGAUGUGGCUUGCUGACUCAAGUAGGGAAAAUGUGGCCAACAUGGUGUGGGAACCCGGCGGGUGAAGCGUCUUCGGCUCCACUUAGACCCCACACUCAUGCUUUGAAGGUUAAAUGUUGCGAUCUUUCAAUUCCAAUACAUUGAUAACAAUUUGCCUUUUUUUCUGAGGCCAGCGUUGAAGUUUCUCCCACUUGAUUUGCCAUUUGACAAGGAAAACUGGGCCAAUUGGAAUUCCCUGUUUAUCACAUAUAUUAAAUUAUUGGUCAUUCUAAAACUGUGACUGCUGCAGAUAUUUUUUUCUUCAUCUUUUUUAUAAACUGACCGUAAAAAUUUAAUUAAUUAUUUAAAUAAUCUAUUUUUUUAUAAAAUAUAAAAAUAACCUAAAAUCUAUCGUAAAAAUUGGUGAAAGUUAAAGUGUUUGGCACUACUAACAUAUCAAAUUAACAAUCAAGAUAAAAAAAUUAAUUUUUUAGCAAAACCAUUUAAAAUGACACCACCGACAUAAAUAUUAAGAAAAUGCUGCAAUUUUUGAAAAAAUAAAAAGGCUUUCAGCCAAGUUAUUUUUUUUAGUGAAGCCAAAUAAUUUGGCAUCACAUUCCAACACCCUAUCGUGCUUUUCCUUAUUUUUUUAUUUGUUUGUUUACAUUUAUUUUAUAAUAUUAUAAUAUAUAUUUUAAAUUUUUUAUAAUAUUAUUUCUUAAACUUUAAAUAUAUUUUUUAAAAUUUUAAAUAUGUACUUUUUAAUAUUAUAAAAAAUUUAAAACAUAUUAUUUUUAAAGAUAUGACAUUUUAAAUUUAUUAUUUGUUUUAUAAUAUUUUUAAUGUAUAUUUUAAAAUUUUUAAAAAUUAUUUUUAAAUAUAUUCAAACGUUUUUAAAAAUAAUAUUUAAAAUUUUAAAACAUAAUAUUUUAUUUAGUGGAAAAAAAACGAAUAGGCUAGAAAAAAGUAGAAAAAGAAAAAAAUGAAAAACAAAUAAAAAAUAGGAAAAGCAAAUUAGGCAGCAGAAUAGGGCUUUAGAAUCUAUUUAGCUCUACUAAAAAGGUAAAUUUACUUAAAGCCCUCCAUUUUUUUUCAAAAACCGUAGUAUUUCCCUAAUAUUUAUACAAGUGGCGCCAUUCUACAUGGCUCCACAAAAAAAUUAAUUUUUUUAUCCUGAUUGCUGACGUGACAUGUUGGUAGCACCAAAUAUUUGACUUCACCAAUUUUUAUUAUAAAUUUUAGAUUAUUUUCGAAUUUUAUCAAAAGAAUAAGUCAUUUAAAUAAUUAAUUAAUGUUUUAGGUUAGUUAAAAAAAAACCUAUUUUUAUGAUAACAACAAAAAAUAUAUAUAUUCAACAGUAGUAACUUAGAAUGGGAAUAUUCCAUAUGAAUGGUUUAAUAUCGGAAUUCGUUUUAUCAGUUUCACUAUUUGAAUUUUUAUAUGUUGUUUUAAAAAUUUUCAACAUAGUAAAUUCAGAUAUUUAACAUAAUAGAAUAUUGAUUUAAGGCUUUAAAAAGUGUUUAAUUUUUUUUAAAAAGUCAUUAAGUCUAUUUUUUUUUGUUUUUUAUUUUUUUGCACACAAUGUAUAUUUGAUCUUUCAAAAUGCAUAAAAAAUACCUUCAAACUUUUUUAAGAAAAGCAAUUAAGCUCCUAAAUUUUUUCACCCAAUUGGGUACUUGAACUGUUAAAUGCUUCAAAAAUACCAUUUAACCAUUAACUUUAACAGUUGAUCGUUAAAUUUAAUUACCCCUGAUCUUUUUUAGUCAAAGCCACUUGUGUAACAACCAUGGCGUGGCAUGUGACAAAAAAAUUAUAAAAAAUAAAAAUCAAAAAAAUUUAUAAAAUAUUUAAUUUUAAUAAAAAUAUUUAGAAUUUAUUAAAAAUUAGGAUUGUUUUAUAAAUACCAUAAAAAUUAUAAAAUGCAUAAAAAAACCUUUAACUAUUAACUUUAACCGUUAAAGAUAACAGCUUCUUGUUUUUUUUAAUUAAAGUUAUCAUAUAUCGCAACACGGCAUGACAUGCUUUUUUAGUACAGUAAUUUUUAUAAGUCUUUUUCCAAUUUUAUAUUUCUUUAUUUUUUUAUAAUUUUGUUAUGACUUUAUAAAAUUUUAUAAUUUUUUUUCUAUAUUUCUAUAUAUUUUACAAUUUUUACAACUUUUAUAAAAUUUUAAAAUUCUUUAUAAAUUCUUUUAAGAUUUUAUAAUUAUUCUAAUUAUUCUAAUUUUUAAAUAUUUUAAUUAAAAUUUAAUAUUUUUAUAAACUUUCAUUGAUUUUUAUUUUUUAUCAUUUUUUGUUACAUGUCCUAUUGAGGUUGUGACAUGUGGUGACUUUAUCUAAAAAAAUUAGGAGUAGUUAAAAUACCCAAUUGAGUGAAAAAAGGACUUAAUUAUUUUUUUAAAAAAGUUUGAAGGUUUUUUAUGUAUUUUAAAAAUUUAAGUACCUAAUUGAAUGUAAAAUAAAAAAAAGUAGGGACUUAUUUAUUUUUUUAAAAAGUUUAAAUUUUUUAUAUAUUUUAAAAGUUUAAAUAUUCAAAUACAAGUGUAAAAGAAAAAAAAAACAAAGCUUAAUGAUUUAGUUUUUUGAAAAAGUAUACAAGGAAAUUUGAUAAAUUUAAAAAAUCCAACCGCAGCCGACAGAAUUUUGUCAUGUUUGUUUUAAAAUAUCUAGCUAAAAGACAAAGGGCCAUAUCGUAUCAAUUUUAUUGUUUUCAACUGUAACCCGAUUUGUGUUACCUCGUGAACACAACUUGUCCCUAAUUAUUCCAAUGAGGCUUGGCCCUUAAAGCCUAGUUAGGACCAAUUACAUCACGUAUGCGAGAAUUACGCACAUGCACAUGCGGUAACAUUUUCCCUAUAAAUUGCUGGCCUUUGCCUCCACCAUUUUCAUCAUUCCAGUUGCUCUCAUUUUUCUUUGGAAACAAAAAACAAAAAAUAGAAAAAAUAAAGAGCAAGAGAUAUGGCAAGCACAUUCUCUUAUAAUUCUUUUGGAUUCCUUCUCAUUCUUGUCGCCUCUAGUUCCUUGAUAAAUAUAAGUUCAGCUGGUAGGCAAAUUGCCCCUAAAACUAGCAUUGAGUUUAUCAGAACAUCUUGUAGUUCAACGACUUACCCUAAACUUUGUUACGAAUCUCUCUUAACACAGGCUAGCAUGAUCCAAACAAGCCCCCAACUCAUCGCCCAUGCAGCCCUAAACGUGACCCUUUCAACCGCCAAGUCAACCUCGGCCAUGAUGGUGAAGCUUGCCAAAAGCCAAGGAUUGAAGCCUACAGAGGUGGGCGCCAUGCAAGAUUGCGUGGAGGAAUUGGAGGACACGAUAGAUGAGCUGAGAAAGUCAAUCAGCGAGAUGGGUCAGAUUAAAGGCUCCAAUUUUGGACUAAUGAUUAACGAUAUACAGACAUGGGUUAGCGCUGCUUUGACGGAUGAGAACACCUGCGCCGACGGGUUUGGAGGGAAAAACAUGAACGGCAGUAUAAAGACUGCUGUGAGAUCCAAGAUUGUCACAAUCGCUCAUUUGACAAGUAAUGCCUUGGCUUUGGUCAACAGCUAUGCUUCAUUUCAUGGUUAGCUAUUUAAUCAACUGUACAGGGGAAAUUUAGUCAUUAUUUACGGUAGCAAUUGUAUUUAUGGAUUUUUAGAAACUACUUCUGUUUUCCUGGUAAAUGUAAAAUAUAUAUGUGGUCCAAAGAAGGGAAUGGAGAUGUGUGUGUGUGUGUGUGUGAUCUUGGUGUCUUAAUGAAAAUGAACGGAGUGAUCUAUAUUAUGUGCACACGUUGUAUCUGUACAAUAAAUUGCUUUUUGUGAACAUAGUAAAAGUAAAGUUGAUGAAGCCUCUGUUGCAGCAUACAAGCAGAGGUUUUAGUUUGUUGCAAGUACAUCUGGUCUUGAUUUUGUAUAGACAUAGUAGUAUUAUUUUGAUCUCAUAUUUUUGUAACUCAUUUAAGACUACUUAAUAACUUUACUAAAUGCAAAUUUUGUUUCAAACGUCAAGAUUAAUUUGGUAUUCAAAAAUAUCUUGUACUUGAAAUUACGAGUAUUUUCGAUAUUAAUAUAUUCGAGCACUCAACUUCCACUUCAAAUUCUGGGCCCUUGGUCCCUACCCAAUGAUGAUUGCCUACCCCGUACUUAGUUGCAUACUUUCUUGGUUUAAUUAUUAGAAUAAAUAUCUAUCAUUAGUUUAUUAGUUGUUUUUUCUUCAGUAAAAAUAUGCUCACACUCGACUCGAUUGUUGAAUCUAAAUAUAAAGUACAACAUUUAUUGUCGAAGUAACUCAAAUUAACUACCACUUCAAUUGUAAUUUUGAACAUCAAUUAUUCAUUACUCAUAUCAAUACUAAGUGAUUAAAAACAAUUUCAGUUCAUUUAAGAUGAAUCAGAAACAUUUUAAAAUAAAUUCUAGGUGUUCGGGGCUGAUUGGGACAAAGUUCGAGUCUCAAGGGUUAAAAUGAGCCCAUUUAAAAUGAAUUAGAAACACACUUGUAAGGCUAUAAUGAGCCCAUUUAGGCAUAACACCCUCAACUGAUUUAAAACAUAGUAGAAUGAGUCCCAUGAUAUAGGUUCAUAAUUAUCCUUUGCACAUUUAGCGGAAUUGAACGCUUAUCCCACCACAUCACGCUAAUAGAUAAAAAGACCUCUCCUAUAAAUAACCUGAUGAACAAGGAAGAAGGGAUCGAUGGCCAACACCCUAAAAUUACAUCUUGAUCGACAUAUCCUAUUGUCCCUAUUUUGACUGUUAACCUCUUUAAGUGAACUGACCUUCAUUUCUCCUCAGUCCAAGUCCUAUAAGAGGUGGUAAGUGGUGUUGGACUCUAAUAUAGUUUAUAUUCUACUAAUCCAAUCAUUACGAGAUUAAGUAAUUAUAUAUUGGGUACUUAUAUCCUUCAAAAAAUAACCCCAAUAAUUAACUUAAAAAGAGAGAGAAAAACUAACCCUGUAAUCAUUUUCCGGUGGAGAAUUUUGGCAUCCAAAAUAGGAGUAUCCUCUCCUUACGUUAUGUUUU